GAUGAACGCUGGCGGCGUGCCUAAUACAUGCAAGUCGAGCGAACAGACGAGGAGCUUGCUCCUCUGACGUUAGCGGCGGACGGGUGAGUAACACGUGUAUAACCUACCUAUAAGACUGGGAUAACUUCGGGAAACCGGAGCUAAUACCGGAUAAUAUAUUGAACCGCAUGGGUCAAUAGUGAAAGACGGCUUUGCUGUCACUUAUAGAUGGAUCCGCGCCGCAUUAGCUAGUUGGUAAGGUAACGGCUUACCAAGGCAACGAUGCGUAGCCGACCUGAGAGGGUGAUCGGCCACACUGGAGCUGAGACACGGUCCAGACUCCUACGGGAGGCAGCAGUAGGGAAUCUUCCGCAAUGGGCGAGAGCUUGACGGAGCAACGCCGCGUGAGUGAUGAAGGUCUUCGGAUCGUAAAACUCUGUUAUUAGGGAAGAACAAAUGUGUAAGUAACUAUGCACGUCUUGACGGUACCUAAUCAGAAAGCCACGGCUAACCACGUG
This 497-nucleotide ribosomal RNA is filed under the name uncultured bacterium. RNAcentral's name for it is "partial 16S ribosomal RNA". It matches the Rfam family "Bacterial small subunit ribosomal RNA", at positions 28 to 507 of the family's 1533-position model. The record is from RNAcentral.